UAUGAGUUUUGGAUUAUGGCUCAGAUUGAACGCUGGCGGCAGGCUUAACACAUGCAAGUCGAGCGGUAGCACAGGGGAGCUUGCUCCCUGGGUGACGAGCGGCGGACGGGUGAGUAAUGUCUGGGAAACUGCCUGAUGGAGGGGGAUAACUACUGGAAACGGUAGCUAAUACCGCAUAACGUCGCAAGACCAAAGAGGGGGACCUUCGGGCCUCUUGCCAUCAGAUGUGCCCAGAUGGGAUUAGCUAGUAGGUGGGGUAAUGGCUCACCUAGGCGACGAUCCCUAGCUGGUCUGAGAGGAUGACCAGCCACACUGGAACUGAGACACGGUCCAGACUCCUACGGGAGGCAGCAGUGGGGAAUAUUGCACAAUGGGCGCAAGCCUGAUGCAGCCAUGCCGCGUGUGUGAAGAAGGCCUUCGGGUUGUAAAGCACUUUCAGCGAGGAGGAAGGUGGUGAACUUAAUACGUUCAUCAAUUGACGUUACUCGCAGAAGAAGCACCGGCUAACUCCGUGCCAGCAGCCGCGGUAAUACGGAGGGUGCAAGCGUUAAUCGGAAUUACUGGGCGUAAAGCGCACGCAGGCGGUUUGUUAAGUCAGAUGUGAAAUCCCCGGGCUCAACCUGGGAACUGCAUUGAAACUGGCAAGCUAGAUAUCUAUUGGG
RNAcentral lists this ribosomal RNA (662 nucleotides) under Serratia marcescens. RNAcentral's name for it is "bacterial SSU rRNA". It matches the Rfam family "Bacterial small subunit ribosomal RNA", at positions 1 to 656 of the family's 1533-position model. Lineage: Bacteria; Pseudomonadati; Pseudomonadota; Gammaproteobacteria; Enterobacterales; Yersiniaceae. The record is from RNAcentral.